This is a long non-coding RNA of Chiroxiphia lanceolata (lance-tailed manakin), 5339 nucleotides long. RefSeq lists it as uncharacterized. The transcript has 3 exons. The record is from RefSeq and is a predicted model, not a curated record. NCBI's taxonomy places the organism in Eukaryota, Metazoa, Chordata, Aves, Passeriformes, Pipridae.
CAGGCUCCACACACCUCCCAGCUCCCUCCCCAGCAGCGAGCCCAGAGCAGCCCUGGGCCCUGUGAGUGCCAGGAGGGCUCUGUGUGCCCAGGAAGCACAUCUGUGCUCAGCACAGCACCUGAACAUCCCAGUACAUUGGACAUACCAGUAUAUAUUGGCUGCCUGUGAUCCUCGACGUAGCUCCUGGAUUAAAUGCCCUGAUGAAGUAUCAAAUAUCCUUAUAAGGGUCCCCUUGAAAAGGAAUCAAGCCUUGUAUUAGGAAGGGCAGAAGAUUCUCUUUACAUCUGUGAAUGCAGCCUAAAACUCUGUCUGUCUGACCAGUAUGUCCCUGCACACACCUCUGGGGGUUUUCUUCUUGCUAGAUUUGAGAACCUGUUUUAAUUUUGGGGAAGAACAUUGAUUGCCCCCACACCAGCCCCACAAUGUUACAGUUCUGUGGUGCACAACCUUGUCACUUGGCUCCUCAACUCAAGUUUCUUUCAGCUCAUUUCUAAAGCACCAGCACAGCCCUGGCCCUGGUUGGCAGACCCUGGAAUGUGCCCAAGUUCUGGGACUCACUUCUGCCUUGCUCCCUCAGUCAGUGCUGCCAUUUUCAGUGCUACUGUGCAAUUCUUUCCCACAAAUUAUAAUCAGGGUGUGGCUGACUUGUCUUAGAAUUAAUUCAGAGGCUGUCCAUCAUCACCUGCAGUCCUGUUACAUGCCUGGUUAACAGGUGCAGCUCUCCAGUCACACACCAGGAGGUAACAGAACCCAGCAGAGAAAGAUUUGGUAAACUCAGCUUAGUUUUGAUUUAAGAGGCAGGCUUGGGAUGUUUGCUGACUGUGCUCAGACUCCCUAGUUUGGUUGGAAAAUAAAAGCUGUUUGAACUUUUUUUCUCUGUACAAAACAAGGAACAUCCUGACACAAAUGCAGCAGAUAAUGAGUCUACUCAGCAAUGGAGUUGGCAGCUUUAAGAACUCUGUUUAGAAGACAUGCAGCCAUUAAGCUUAGUUAGGAGAGACUGUGGCUGCAUUUUCUUUUUUUAAGCUGUUUGAGUGACAGGCUGGGCAGUAGAAACUGUUCAAAGGAGACACUUGUUGGAUUCAUUUGGCUUUUCCUUGAGAAACUCCUUUCAUUUGAGUGGAAGAAGGCAGUGAGUGCUCCUCUUGCCUCAGGGAGAUGGGUCCAUCUGCCUGACAUCCCUUUGGGAGAUGAAGGGCCCUGGCAGCCCUCCCAGGGGUUCCCAGGGAGAGGGCAGGUCUGUCACCAUUUGAGCUGCACCCUAACCUGAGGUUUUUGUCAGUGUGUUGUGCUCUUUAGUCCCACAGGGGUGCACACACCAUUUCAGAAGGAGGGGGGCAGCCACCCCCUCCUGCUCUGCACCAGGGGCUAAGCCCUGGCAGAACAAAGCCCUCUGGCAGGACAGACCUAUCUGCAAGCAUUUCUUUAGCCAGUGGGUGUGAAGUGAGUUUAAGCAGAAAAUAAUAAAGGUGAAAGAAUACAAAUAAGAUUCUCCCCCUGCUUUUUAAAAAAAUUAACAGUAUCUGUUGAAGAACACGUGAAAGCUGUGAGCUGCUUGGGCCAGGCUUCUGCCACUGAAGAGUCACUGCUCCAGUCAGCUAAAACAUAAGCACUACCUCAGGCACAGCCCUUGGCUGUUGGUGUCUGGGGAUCCCAGAGGGGCAGUGAAGAUAAAGGGAAUGCACAUUCCAGUGACAAAUUUCCCCGGUAGGUAUUUCUCUGUCUUUCCUACGAAGGAUGUGACUUCCUGUUUGUGACACUGGAACACACAGUAGGUCAGAGGCAGGGACAUCACUCUUACUUUUUCUGAUGCUGUUGCAAUUCUUGUUCCCUGCAGGUUUAAAGCAAUACAGCUCAAGACUCCUUCGUGGGCUGGGAUGUCCACGGGAGGCUUCUCCGUGUUGGCCAAAUCCACGAUCUGCACGUGCCCAGUGUGUGUCCCAGGAAAUGCAAGAAGAGAAUUAUUACUAUUUGGACAAAGGACACAGAGACCUGAAAGACACACAAAAAAGGAGAAUAACUGGAUCAUUUCCAUAAACCAAUGUUUUCAAAUGUCAUCCCAGAUCAUGACUAGAACAGUGCAGAGGUUGUGUUAAACCAUGAAGGCAGAUCCAAAGAUCCACACUGUCUCCCUUCCAGUUCCCCAGAAGGCUGACCAAGAGGGGCACCCCAUGGCUAAGCAGCUGCAGAUGGGACACCCUGCAAACCAGGCCUUGAGCCACCACAUAUCAACCCCCUCGAGCAGGCAGGAGCUGCAAACUCCAACCACAAAAACUGACAAUAAAAAUACAACUUUCUAAAGAAAAGCAGCUUUUUUUUUUUUGUUUGCUCUGAAGAUUAUCAAAGAAAUAAUGCAGCAGUUGCAAAAAAGUAGCAUAUUUUCUUACAAAUCUUUCCAGCCGGGGAGGUUCCCCCUCAGGCUGCUGGGAUGGAGCCUCCUUGCAAAGCUCACCAUGAGAAGGUCAGGGGGUCUCUGAGACCUGUCACUGCAGGUACCAGCCUGUUCCUGCUGCCACAGCAGUGGUGGGACUCCCUGCACCACAGUGACUUAAAGCUGCUGCAACAUCCCCUCACCCUUCAGGACACCUGAUGCCAGCCCAGGGCGGUGGGUUUGGGAGCUCUGGGCAGUGUCACACAGGCCAAGAUGUUUGCAGGGUCCCUCCCUGGAGCUCACCUUUGUUGGGUGGGUACUUCGGCUUCUUUCCUCCACCCACCAGUGCUAAAUAGUUGCAACGAAACAACAUUUCCACAUGGCCAACACCACCUUCUACAAACUCUGGAAGACAAAUAUUUUAUUUAGAAGCGUCAGAACCUGUUAAAAGGCCACCUAGUUUUUACCACUGUUACAAGAAAAGCUCAUAUUAUCCAGCACAUCUCCCAGGCACCUGAGAAGAACAGCAUCUUCCUACCCUGGCUGCCCUUCAAAACCAGAGGAGGUAAAUUCCAUGAAAGUUCCUCACACUGGAGCAGUAAAGUCCUGGAUUUCAUAUAAGCCCUUGUGGUUUCUUCAACAGCACUUCUGAGUGCUGUAUUUCCUUCCUGAAGAGUUUUGGACACUACCCCCUUCUGCACCACAUCCUCCUCUUGACUCCAGAAAGCAUUUGAAGCAGGAUGGCACAUUUUGCUAUGAAAAGGGAUUAUCAUCAUGACAAAAAGGCCUAAAAUAUUUACAAGUGGUAACCUGGGACAGUUUGAGAGCGUGCAAUGUGUCCUGAAUCUGUGUUAGAGCACUGAAUGAUUAUCUGCACAGUUCUGAGGGACAGUGCUUGGAUGGGAACAUCCUGGAACUCCUGCAUGUAGGGGGUUGCAACAGUUAAGACUUGGUUUCAUGUUGGGUUACAGAGAACAAUCAAAUAGACAACUCCAGCCGGGACCAUCUCAGGCAGGUUAAAAUCUACAGGAAUGAUGAACAGGAUCUCUCUGUGUACCUACACAGCCAGUUCAGUGGGAGUGCUCAGAAUCCACAGGGAAAAAGCAAUCUGACUCAUAAGAAACUUUUCACCACAGGAGUCCUGGAAUUAUCUCCAUCCAGAGCUACUGGCAGGGAGAGUUUUGACAAGGUACUCCACAGGACUCCAGGCUGAGUCCUGAUCCUUUGAGCACACUGUCACAGGUGACAGUCCCAAGGCAUGUUGCUUAUGGAAGAAUUCACUGUUCAGAGCAGAAAAUAGUUUUGGCCACGUGAACAGUGACUAAAAUCCUUUACAGCAGUAGAAAGUGAAAGUGUGCCUGGUUUCAUAGGAAUUGCUUAUUUAAGUACAUUUUUCCUCUUAUUAAAUCCCUUUUAUCACCACAGGCUGGAAGUGGCUGGGAAACCUGUUUAGCAACUCACUUCUAUAUUUAGGGUUAGAAUCACAUGGCUGGGUUUCAGUUUCCCCUAUUUUGACUUGGGUUUGUUUGCUUUCUGAUAAAAAAGCCCCACUGUUAAUACAGCUCAUCUACUGAUUUCUGUUCAAACAUGAGGGAGCAGCUUUACUGCAUUAAGAUCCUCCCAGAUUUUUUAGGCAUCCAGAGAAGGCAGGAUGUAGAGUAUCAGAGCUCUCAGUGCUCUUGCAGACAAUACUCUGGGUAUGAGAAAUGUUAUGCUCAGAUCUCCAGGAGAAGGGCUGGAGUUUUACUGCCACACUGGAUCAUCCAGAUCACCACAGGAGAAAGGAACAACUACUGAUGGUGCAUGACUGCUGCAGGGAGUGACUCCUGCUCAGGGAUAACCAACUCCUCUCCUCCUCAGGGCUACAAACAUCAGCAAGAGCCAACUCAAGUCUGUGAUAGGUGAGACAAAUCCCUCGUCAGCCAGUUGUGCAAAUUAACAGCACUGAGACAUCUGACUGAGCAGUGGCACGAGUGAGAGCCCCUGUGGGGCAGGAGCUGCCCUUCCUGGGGCUUUAUCCAAAGCUUUCCAGGGAUGGAGCAGUGAAAGCUGAGCAAGAACCAGUCACAAAAAAAAAAGGAGGAGGCUGAGCUUCCAACCAGAGCAGCACGGUGGAGUAAGUAAGUGCUUUACCUUGUUUCUCUUUUUCCUUGAGAGGAUCUGCAUUAUAAACUCGGAAUCCAUUUUCCAUUCCACAUGCAAAGCAUCCUGUGGUAAAAAGCACAUGUAUAUACACAUAUAUAUAGUAAUUGCCAGAUACACUCGAGAAGGAAGCAAGAGCCAGAGGGUUAGGAGAGCAUUACUGACAACUGCAUUGUUACACUCAAGCACUCACAGGCUCUGUUAGUGAUGCAAGUGAAAGCCCUUCAGAGGAUUUGUUCUCUGGCCUGGUGCAAAGGUCUCGGUAUUGUUUUUAGACAGGUAAGAAAACAAUGGAAGGAAAGGAAACCUAUUCCCAACCCACCUGUAUCCUAUGCCAUGUGCUACAGGGGGAAGGAAAUCAGCAUUUUAAUGUUUAUGGUCUGACAGUCAUUAUGAAGGAAACCCCCUCCUUUCUCAACAGGUCUGAAUUCACCCCACAUUUAUGACUCUGCUGUGGAUGUUUCCAGAGCACAGAGCUCCUCAAACAGCUUUUCAGACUGUGUUAAUGCCAAUAAUGACAUGCCAGUAGCUGAAGUCCAACCCAGAACAAGAGUAGAACACUCUGAUUAAAACGGUCCCAGAUUAAAACACUCUGGAAAAUAAUUGUAGUUACUUUUUUGUACAGAAUUAUUCACGUGCCUCUUCAGUGGAAUCCACUGAACUACCAGUCUCCUGUCCUGCCCUUCCCCUGCUGAGGGAAUGCAGGUACUGGUACCAAGAAAUGCCAGUGUGCAGUCAGAGCAAUGACAAGUCACCAAGGAGCAGCUGCUGUCACUGGCAGCAGCCUGACAGCAGAGUUAUUGCCCCAAGCUGCAGCUGUGCUCGU